Long non-coding RNA from Teleopsis dalmanni, 408 nucleotides. RefSeq lists it as uncharacterized. NCBI's taxonomy places the organism in Eukaryota, Metazoa, Arthropoda, Insecta, Diptera, Diopsidae. The record is from RefSeq and is a predicted model, not a curated record. The transcript has 3 exons.
AAAAUUAAGGAAAAAAUCAACUGAAAGUAGAAAAAACACGUUCUUCAACUCAACAGAACAGAAAUAAACUGAAGAAAAACGAAAGAAAAUUUAUUUCCACUCUGCAGAAAAUUUCGAGAGUUUAUUUAUGAAAAAACAAAAAGGGCCACCAAUAUUUAGUGGGAAAAGUGGCAUACCUAAUGCGACAACAGAAAACUGCACAAACGUACGACAGUCUGCCUAAGCUACAGUGGAACGCAUAAAACAAAUUACUUCAUAAAUAUUUAAUAAACAGAACACUUUAUUGCAUUGGAUAUUCAUUACGGAUGUACUAAAAAGCAUCCCUAGAGUGGAUUGUGGACUUGAAUGAAAUAUUACAUUUUUGAAAUCGGGAAAAUCAUUUCAAAGUAAAAUUUUAAGUAAAAUUAG